CUUAUUGUGGAACACACUGUAUGCAAGAAAAAUGGUAGUUCAUGCAUUCAGCUGUUAUUUCAUGCCUACCUACAUUUUAAGAGAAAAGAUGGUGAUGCAGUGUUGGGUGUGAAAAAGGAAGUUAAGACCAUGCAGAGAUUACACAGCUACAUCAGGAAAUAUGCCAUUUUCCCAACGCAAAAAAGUGAGCAUACAGGCAUUCAAGCAGUCUGUGGUGAAAAAACUUAGAGACAGCUGCAGGAGAAGUUACUGUAAGCAAUAUUUGCCUAAGCUUCUCAACCAGCCCUCAUAAGUACAUAACUUGAGUUAGAAUGCCAUCUAGUACUAUGCACUGACUAGCCUCAAUUAGCCAUCACUGCAGAAAACAGGGAAGUGUAUUUUGUUCUGUACACAAGCAGAACUAAAAUUUUUCAGUAUGCUUAAGUGUAUCUGUGCACCUAUUUCUUUUCCUAUACUGCAUCUAACAAAUAAAAAUUAUUGGAUAAUGGGAGUUAUACACAAGCAGGAAGAACCAAAAUACUAUGCACAUCUAAAAUCAGAAUGUGGUCCUAUUUUUUGUAUAUACGGGGGGAAAACAAUAAAAGAUGUUAUAUCCUGAUGAACUAUGAGAGAGAGAGACAUGUUUACAGUGGAACAAAUAUUUCCACAGGUAUCUGAGGCUAUUACAGAAAGUGCACUGUGUGUAUUGUAAACCCAUGUCAGGAAGACACCAACAUUCUCCAAUUCCUUAAUUUGCUUUUUGAAAAUUUACCUUGCUUAUUGGAAAAAGUUACCCAAUAACUAAUCGUUUAAGUUUUACAGCAACUUUUUCUUCCUGUACCCCAAAAAUGUAAGAUGAUAAGCAGUGAUGGUCACUGAAGCAUCUAAGAAAGAUUUACUCCCAAUAUUUCCAUACAAAUCAAGUAAUCCUACCUCACCUAUAUUUGACUGAUCCCUGCUUUAAAGAGAACAGGAUCCAUAAAGCAGCACUACAGAAAAAUACCAAUAUGAAACAUUAACACUGAAAGGCAUAUUAAGAUUGAGGUUUCAAAACUGAAGUAAAUCUUUACCACAAUUUACAGAUUAUCACAUAUUUGCUUUCUGUAAAGUGUCUUGCUAUCUCUAGUCUAAAAGACCUCAUGUUAAUCAUCAGUAGAGGAAGAUAUUAGACUAGGUAUACCAGAAUUUUCAGCCUUUAUAGCACAAUGGAUGUAUAUAACAAGUACUAAAUAGGCAUGCAUCUCACAUAAGUGCAGUCUUCCAUUUUAAGAUGGCAACCUAAAUACAAACAAGCUGGAAACCAUUCUUUCACCUCAAUCAUUACCACACUACAGUAAUUUUUAAAUUCCAUGAAAAAAAAUUUAUUGGAGUAUAGAAAAAUAUGAUUAAGGAAAAUAAGUGACAUUAACAGUUCUGCUGCACAGAUCUUACUCCACAUAUCCCAAGUUGUAUUUGUAAAAAAAUGAAAAAUGAACAGACUCCAGGUCUUAUGUGUUGUCAGCAUUAGAGUACUAGUCUAUAGUAAUCUUAACUUUUCAGAUAUGGCUAGGGAUCUAGAAUACUAGACUGAUAUCCGAGUGAAGAGCCUUAAUCCACAAAGUAUUAGUGGAGCUACAUCUUGCUUCAUCGAUGUCAAAAGGAUUUAUUUCACAGUCUUAAACUAGAGGGGACUAAAUCUAUAAGGCCUAAUCUUUCAGUUAGAUAGACAUUUUUACUGGCUUGUCAGGUACUGACUUGGAUAUACCACUGUUUGAAAAAUUCAGAUAUUUAAUUUUGUUUGAGAUUUUCUGUGCUUUUCUUGGGGUUUCCAGCCAGAUUUACACCUUCAAGUAGUUGUUCCAGCACUCUUGUUUCUACACUAGUAACAGUACUUGCAUGAGCAAGUUUGAACUUGUAAAUUAAUAGUUAAAAAUGUUCCAACUCUUAAACAAAGUGUCAGUGCAAAUUUGCCUGGGCCCUAAAAAUCAACUCUGCCCAGCACUUAAUUACAGAAACAUUUUAAUCAGAUAUAACAACAGUGUCAAAUCUUAUAUCCACAGAACCAGUUUCAAUUGAAAUCAGGAUGUGGCCUACGGGGAAGAAAAAUACUACAGCCAAACUAUACUGUGUACACAUUGAGAUUACAGGAAAACCUCAUUAAUUCGGAACACAGGGGACCAAAAAAUACCGACUUCAUAAUAAACUGGUUCACAUUAUCCAAACUACAGUACUACACUGUAUGUAUUACAUGAAGCCACUGUACAGUACCUGUAUAAUCUCUCUCAGUUUCUUAAAGAAAGAACUGACUGUGGUCUGCUUAACCAUCUUUUUAUAUUGAUCAUGGACAAUUCAGCUCAUUUUUUUCAUGACUUCCUUUAUUCCCUCAUCCAUGGCAGCAGCAUUGUCUUUCAGCACAGAUUUGAGAACUGUGAGCACCGCAUGUACCUCCUUCUGUGACACGCAUUUGCUAGGACGCAUCGCUCUUUAUUUUCUUCCACCUCUUCCUCUGUGGGGGCAUCCUGACUUGCUCUCUUACUACUUCCUUCAUCGUUGACACUUUAUCAUCAACACUGACAGACUCUUGGAAAGCAGUGGAGCAACCCAUUUUUCCUUGAAGCUCAGCCUAGUCAGGAUCAUCUUGCUCAAAUUCAAUUUCUUCAGCAGCCUUAGUGCCAAAGCCACCUUUCUCAAAGCAGUUUAUCCCAUGCAAUGACAACAUUUCUCAUAGCAUCGAGAAUGUUCCAUUUAUGCAUAUCUGUUGAAUUCUUGGAAACCUCUCAGCAGAUAAUGCACCAGUUGUUUCCAGUAUGCCAUCACAGCAUGGUGUAUUAUUUCCUGAUCUAGGGACUACAUGUAGCUUGUGGUGCUUGUUGGGAGAAAGAGCGCGCACACAUGCUUCAAGUCUAAUCCUUCGUAAUUACAGGCCACACAGUUCUCAAUUAGUAGAAGCAUAUUUCGAUUUUGGCAUGCCAUUUUCUGUUCAAGUUGGAGUAGCCACUCAAAACAAUAGUUAUCCGUGUAUUUUUGUUGGCCAGUACAGGCAUGGCAAGCAUUUCAUCCCUUUCAUACGCCAGGGAUUGUCAAACUUUACAGUCGCUAGCGGCUAUAGUUUCUCACAACCAUUGGCAUUGCAACAGAAUAGUACAGUGAGCCCUUCUUUGCUUUUCUUCCCACUGUGACACAUUUCUCCUUUAAGUGUCAGUGACCUAUCAGGCUGCAGGUUAUAAAAAAGUCCCGUCUCAUCAGCAAUGAAUGUGUCCUUCAGCAUGCAUUUGUCCAGAAUUGGCUUCACGCUUGCAGCCACAAUAUCAAUAUAAGAUGCUUCACCAUGUACACAAAGCAAAACGAUAUUCUGACAAUGUUGGAAGCCACGCAUUAGAACACUGAAACUCUAUUCCUAGCUUCAACACAAUUUCAUCUGCUUUUUCUAACUAGCAGCCCAGAUACUGGGAUACUGUUCACCCUUGUAUCACAAAACCACUGAAACAGUUCAGUUUCUGAAUAUAAACAACUUUACACUUCAGAUUCCUUUCUUCAUCCUGGUUUUGUAUCCUUCUGUUGCCAUCUUCUCUACUGAAUCCUGAAUCUUCAAACAAGUUGAAACCCAACAUGCUUUUAAAGCAAUUUCCAUUAUGGAUUUCACUUUCUUAUCUGCUUUAUGUAUCAUUUUCAGCUUCUCUAAAAGUGUUAACUUCUUCUUGGUUGCCAUGAAGCUCACCCCUGCUGGACCUGCAUAUGACUGAAAGCCAGAGGUGUAUAUAAUUCUGGCAACAUAAAAUUACCAACACGUUAUUGAACAGUGGUCAGGACUGUUGCUAUGCAGAAUAAUUCUGCAAUAUUAUCUAUACAGUAGUACUGUACUUUGAAGUAAACAAACACAUUUUCAUGGGUUUAUGGUCCAAAGGACCAGAAAAUGGCUUCAAAUUUCAAAGUAGCCACAUUUCAAAUUAUCCAUAUUAUAAGGAAUACAAAUCCUGUCCUGUUGGCUGGGGAAUUACAGUAACUUUGAGAUAUCCAAUACUUUGAACAAUCCAAUGUCAAAUUAACAAGGUUUUCCUGUACUUCUGUGGCUUCCCCAAUAUGAAAACUGCUCAGACCAUAGACACUGUGCUGGCUCUCUCUCAGAAGCAUGGAGCUAUGGGAUUUCUUCACACUUAAAGUGAGUCCGGUAUCUCAGCACCUUCAACAGCAGUCUCCCUAACACCUUACCCAGACACCAGACUAAUGCCAAUGUAAGGAUAAAAAUCACCCUCCCACACAGAGUAUACCUACUCAAUCCCCAAUAGUAUUAAGUGCAACAAUUACUUUUAAGUAAAAUGAGACAAGGUAAACAUCUGAUACAGACACAGGCUGCUAUCUGUAACAUCAGCCAGUCAUAUGAGCCCUCUUUCCUUAACCCUAUAUAAUAGUGUAGCCUUUCAGCCAACAUUUAACCACAGCUGUGUUUAAAAUACAUUUCAAGAUUUUUUUUUUCUCCCCAGUCAAAAUUGGCAGAUGAGGGGAGAUUGUGCCAGCAGGGAUGUACAUGGGCAUGGGCACCAAGGUGGGAGUUUAGGUAAUGUUUCAAUGGCUGUCCUUGGAAAUAAUUCAAAUAUUUAUUGUUCACUACUUCAUUUUCAGUUGCUGCUCAUGUAUCUGGGUAUUUAUAGAACUUAUCUCCAUGGUCCCUAAUCACCUUCAUAGCUUGUGCUAUACAAAAAAUUUUAAAAAACAACCAAACACCCCACUUUCUUUGCUACUCAACAUCCCUCUGAAACCUGUUUCUACAAACAAUUCUUUCCCCAAAAAAUCAGAAAUACAAUUUCACUCUAAAUGGAUUAACUGAUUCGGGGUCUUACUUCUUGACUGAAUCACAUACUGAGCAUGAAUUAUUUAAUAUACAAAGGAGGGCAGAAAUAAAAAGGAAAUACUAACCUAUAAACUUGCUUCUAAUUCUAAAAUAAAAUCAAACCCUCCAGUCACUAGUUCAGAUUUUAGAUAUUCAUCUUAUGAUGGUUAGUGCAGGGGGGGAAAAAAGGACAUUUCAGUCUGUUUUAAUGAUGUUAAUUAUUAAAUGUUCCUUCACCCUGAAGAAACACAGAAAGCCAUUCUGCGCAAUGCAGUGCCUAAUGUGGUUGCUUGUGUUACCUAAUAGUAGCAGCAAAUCCCUAACACAGCAAAUUAUAAUAGCAUUCGGCACACAUCCAAGCUACCCAGGUGAAAUAUGACACUUAGCAAAGGAUAUAGGCAGAUAAGGUAGGGAUUUUAGAAGCUGAAUACAGAUCUUUACAUCACUGCUGAGGAGGCAGAAGUGGUAAUUGGGUCCCAAUGCACUUCUGUUUUAGGGCAGAAGCAAGGAAGAUGCAAAAUAGUUAUGAUGGUACCAGGACUCCCCCACUGAGAUUCAGGAUGGACUCAGACACAUUAAAUUAGGUAAAAUAUUCCAAACUAAUUUCCCCAAACCACAGGAGGCCCUAUCCUGAACAAACGAAAGCAGAGGAAGAGUCCUCUCUGAAUGUGAAAAUGGCCUGCAACCAUCAAUGGAUCACAGGCCCUUGACAUCAACUGAGCUAUCUUGCUUCAGGCUCCUGCUCAGAAACACUAACAGAUAGAUCUUCGUACCACAUCUCUCACGGUGUUUCAGUCAGAAAUCUCCACCAGGACCCUAAUCCUGGAACAAGCUUCAUGUAAUCCCACCCCUGUGCCUGCAGAAAGCCUCAUGGCCUUCAAUAAAGCUUUGUGCAACAGUC
Molecule: long non-coding RNA, 5687 nt
Organism: Alligator sinensis (Chinese alligator)
Lineage: Eukaryota; Metazoa; Chordata; Crocodylia; Alligatoridae
Exons: 3
Source: RefSeq, a predicted model, not a curated record